CGGGGUAGAGUAACGCGUGAGGAACCUGCCUCAAAGAGGGGGACAACAGUUGGAAACGACUGCUAAUACCGCAUAAGCCCACGGCUCGGCAUCGAGCAGAGGGAAAAGGAGCAAUCCGCUUUGAGAUGGCCUCGCGUCCGAUUAGCUAGUUGGUGAGGUAACGGCCCACCAAGGCGACGAUCGGUAGCCGGACUGAGAGGUUGAACGGCCACAUUGGGACUGAGACACGGUCCAG
This 235-nucleotide ribosomal RNA is filed under the name uncultured bacterium. RNAcentral's name for it is "partial 16S ribosomal RNA". It matches the Rfam family "Bacterial small subunit ribosomal RNA", at positions 104 to 334 of the family's 1533-position model. The record is from RNAcentral.